CGGAAAGAAAGAAGUGGGGGGGGGCUCAUCUUUAUGAGAAUGCCUGCAGCCAGCAGCGUUGUGAGGGGAGACCCAGCAGGACUGUAGCCUACGGCCCCAACUCAAACCUGACCUUUGGAAGUUCUCGCUCAGAGUCAGAUAAAAGCGCAAGGGAGGCAGUCGAAAUCAGAGGAGAACUGUGGUAAAUAAGAAACGGAGGAGAUGAAGGCCACAGUCUCUGUGACUUACAGAGGAAGCGCUGCCGUGUGUUGUUUUGUGAAUAACUCAAUUCAGAAACAGAGAGAGAAAUAAGUUCCACAUGCUUUAGAUGAACAAAAAGUGCCCCGAGAGAGAGGGAAACAGACUGCUCGAGGACCGCUCAUCAAAAAGAAAUCGGCGAACAGGAUCAAAAAAGAAACUUUGCUUACUCUCGUCUGGUUCCUAAUCAUCUUCUACAUAAACAAGGCAGCCGAGAUAAGAGAUGAAACGUUCUGUCGCCUUCUUCAAGAUCAGCCUGACAAUGAGCUGUCUUUGAGAUGGAUAAACAUUCGUCUGGCACCACACCUUGAUGGGUCACCUCAUUUACAACCUUAAAUAGUGUGACGGGAAUGAAGUGUUAAUUUAUCAAAGCGGAUUUCCUCUGCCGUAUCAUUAAAGGCAAGACUUUUAUUGUACUGUUAUCAACCAAACCAACAACUUAUCAACACAAGUCAAGGAAGGCACCCCGAUGCUCAAAAUGAUCCUAGGCGGAAGGAUUUCAAAGCAGAGGAAACUGUGUGGAGCCAGCAGAGGGCCUGGUGCUAGACAAUAUUUACUUGAAAGGAAGAGCUGCUCUAUUGAUGUCUCCCACCCGCCUAAACCCCCCCCCCGGCAUAAUGCAAGCCAGGUGAGAGCAAACCACUCUAAACUU
Long non-coding RNA from Triplophysa dalaica, 889 nucleotides. RefSeq lists it as uncharacterized. NCBI's taxonomy places the organism in Eukaryota, Metazoa, Chordata, Actinopteri, Cypriniformes, Nemacheilidae. The record is from RefSeq and is a predicted model, not a curated record. The transcript is spliced from 3 exons.